UCACCAUUUUUUCCCUUCGCCAUUUUUUGCCACCGCAUUCCCCCUUGCCUUCCCGAUCCCUAAGUAUUUUCGUCCAACCUAUGAUCUCUUCAGCUACUUCAUGUUUUCUUUCUUGAUCUCUUCACACCGGCGAACCCCAUCUAUGUCGGUGAACCCCUCUCUACCUAACCCUUCCACGUUGCCUAAACGCCUUUGUGUUUCCCCCCCCUUCGCGUUUUCCUUCCUAAACCUAAACGCCUAAAGGCCUUCCCGAACUCUAAGAUGCAAAACAAUCUCCGUCCAACCUACGAUCUCUUAACCUACCUCUCUACUUUUUUCUUACCCUCUCUACCUAUGAUUUGCCUCUCUUUUAUUCAUUAAUAAAUAGAACCUUUCGUCGUGCAGCGCCGACGCAGUAGCUCGUUGAUCUCCAAUGCUGUAGCUUUGGAAGAGGAAUGCUAGCACUGGCGGUAGCAAAGAGUCGACCCAGGUGGUGGCACCGCCAGCACCGAUGGGUAAACGGGCCAGGAAGAUGGUGAGGGAUAUGAAGAUACUAAUUUAGGGGAAAAGAAGGCGACAUUGUUCUUUGGCUCGCAGAGCGACACCCCUGAGAGGUUCGUGAAGGUUAAGUUUCUGAGCUUUUGAUCCUUUCUCACUUCACAUUCCUUGAAACUAGAGAUAUAAUUUCCUUAGAUUCCCUCUAAGAGUAUAUUUUUGAGCAAACAUUAGCAGACAAGGUCAAUGCAAGGUACAAGAAGGUCAUCUUCAAAGUCGUCGAUUUGAAAUUUUGUGCAACUUAUCUUUGAGCAUUAAGUGAAGAAAAAUUCUAGAGCAAAUGCUUGAAUCCCUAAAUUAUCUUCCUGAAAAGAUUUCUGGUAACAUACCUACUGAAUUCCGAGACUUAAGGAGUAUUGAGGAGAUUGAUUUGUAAAAAACUACUUGUCCGAUACGAUUCCUGAGGAACUUGGACUGCUUCAAAAUCUGAUCACACUGAAUUUGGAAACAACAAUUUGUUUGGUGGUCUCACAACUCUCACUGACUGCCCAAGUUUCAUUGCCCUAGGAAGAUUUACAGCAUGUUGAUGCUGUAAUAGGUGGAACUAUUCAAACCUCUGUGAACAAUGUCAUUGAUGAGGUACUUGGGUCCUGUGAAGUAUUUGAAGAAAGACAAGUUGGAAAUGAACAGUUAACAUUUUUAAUGGUUGCCCUUUUGGUCAGACUGCAACCAUUGUUCUCAGAGGUGGUGCAGAUCAGUUCAUUGAAGAAGCAGAAAGGAGCCUUCAUGAUGCCAUUAUAAUUAGGAGAGCUUUAAAGAACUCUACCAUUGUGCCUGGUGAUGGAACUAAGCCGGUAUUUAAGGGUGCAUGCCCGUACAAUAGCUGGGAAGUCACAGCUAUGCAUCAAUUCAUAUGCCAAAGCUCUUGGUUUUGAAGAUAAUCUCGGUCUUUGUGGCUAUUGUUUAAGCUCUCCUUGCCACUUCCAUCCACCACAUAGAGAAAGAGAGUUGGUAUUAAGAAGACGUCGAUGACAGUAAAUAAGCCAAAUGUUAUUAAGCAAAAAGCUUUGCCACAAAUCAAGGAGACUUUCUUUCUUAAAGCUUCUGCUAUCACAAGGGAUUUACCUGAAGAUUAUGUUGAGAGGGUGAAACAAGUUCACCAAGUUGGUGGUUAUGGAUCCAAAGGGUUAUUGAUCUCCUGGUGCUUUAUCAAAGGGGUGGAAAGAUUGGACUUUCUGAUAGAGCUAGUGUGGGGAAGACUGGAUUUAUUAUGGAACUGAUGAUCAACAAUAUUG
This is a long non-coding RNA of Zingiber officinale, 1769 nucleotides long. RefSeq lists it as uncharacterized. Lineage: Eukaryota; Viridiplantae; Streptophyta; Magnoliopsida; Zingiberales; Zingiberaceae. The record is from RefSeq and is a predicted model, not a curated record. The transcript has 12 exons.